RNAcentral lists this long non-coding RNA (1655 nucleotides) under Elaeis guineensis (African oil palm). RNAcentral's name for it is "long non-coding RNA (EGUI_LNC002716)". The record is from RNAcentral. Lineage: Eukaryota; Viridiplantae; Streptophyta; Magnoliopsida; Arecales; Arecaceae.
CGGAACGUCUUCAAGGAUUUUUCAUGAGUUUUUGGAUGGAAAGAAAGGGUCGCCGGAGUUCUUCUCAUUUGUCGGAGCAAGGUAAGCUCCUUCCCUCUUCUUCCUUCUUUUCUUGGUUGUCUUUUCAUCAUCCGCGAGCGACGGCAAGCUGCCGAAUUUGAGCCAAACAGGACGGUCCCUGUUUUGAUUUUACUUUCCUGCUUGCCGCCGACAACGGUCGCUGUUGAAGGGGGCUAUGGGUUUUGCCAUGGGUCUCGCCAUUGUCGAGAACCACCAUGAGUGGCCGACGUCGGCCUUCCUUGGCUGCAUAUGAGGGAGAGAGGAGAGAAAGGAGAUCCGGUCUCCUAUUUUGGAUGAGGAGAAGAGAAAAAGAAGCUUCUUCUCUCUCUUCUCAAUUAAUCAAUAAAUUAAAUUAGAUAAUUAAUUAAUCAAUUUAUAUUUUUUUCUUUAGAUGGUUUAGGAAAGUUUGGAAAGAAAAAAUGUUGGGGAUAAGGGUGAGGAUCCUGAUAAACCUCAAUAGAAGAUUUUAAAAAAUUAAUUUGAUUUAUUUUAUAAUAUUAAUUUAAUAUAUAUAGGAGAAUAGUCCAUCAGACAGGAGGGCAUCGGGUAGGAUUCUGACAUCCAGAGCAUAAAUUAGCGAGUCUAAUUUAUCACUGAUUGAGGUAAGAAUCGCUGUACAUGAUUACUAAAUAUAGAUAUAUACCAUUUUACUGUUGGAUUUGCUUGUGUUGAUGGAUUAUCAUGGUUGAGAUAUAAUCAUUCUUUGAAUGAUUUUUCGGUAUGAUUUACAUUAUUUAUUGAUUAUGCAUAUGUAUCAGUGGUUGAUAUUGUAGUUAUACAAAUAUGACAUUCUUUCUCUGAUCAUAUUGAAAAUUUAAAAUUUAUUUGAUGAAAAUAACAUGAAAUUAAUAUGAAAUAAAAAGAUAAAGAAUAUAUGGUUUGGACUAGCCUCAUCAUAGAAUAGUCCACCAGGAGUUUAUGCUUGGGACAGUCUUCACGGGCUUAUACUUGAAUCAAUCGGUCAGAAGCUCUUGUUUGGGACAGCCCAUCAAGAGCUUAUGCCUAGGACAGCCCCCAUGGACUUUCAUAUGUAGAACAGUCAGUCAGGAGUUCAUACCUGGGACAGCCUUGAUGGGCUUAUGAGUGAAAAUUUGAUCGGAUAGAGAUGAGGCAUAAUCUUAAUUAGUCCAAAGCCAAAAAGGAUGAAGAUUAUCAAACUGAAGUAAUGGAAAGAUGAAUCAAAUCUUAAGAUCAUGUAGAUUAAUGUCGAAUAAAGACCUCACUUGAUGGUAUAUGAUGAUCUAUUAUGUAUUCAAUACAUAUUUAUGCCAGUAUUUGAGUUAUUAUAUAUAUAUAUAUUAUGAGUUUUCAUGAAAUUGUUUUGAUAUUUAUACAUUUUUCACUUCAUCCAUUAUUCUGAUAUAGAUGUAUAGUGAUUCUCACUAAGUUGAAGAAACUCAUAUUCUUUUGUUAUUUUUUUCAGAACCACAGGAUGCUUAGCUCGGAUGGGUUGGACAAGAGAAGUCAAGUAUUGGAGCUUUUAAUAAUUUAGCUAGUUUAAAUUUUUUGAUACCAACAAAUAUUUGAAUGAUUGUAUUUGAACAAGUUGACUAUUUGAUUUGGAGGAGUGACUCAGUUGACAUGUUUGGUAUUUA